AUAAACCCUAAGCGUUUAUUGAAAGCUUCGGUUGUCAAAAAUUUUGACAACCAUUGUCAAAAAUAUUAAUGUUGGUUGUACAUCGCUUAUUAGGGGUGUUCAAAAAAACCCGACCCGAUUGUCCGUCCCGAUUACCCGAUAACCCGUAAAAAACCCAAUGGGAAAUUUACGAAUUUUCUAUUUUUUUCGGGUCGGGUACUCAUUCCGCUAAGCAGUUUCGUAGGCCGGGACAUGGAACAAGCUUUGCUAUUCUCGGGUACCUGGAUACCCGUUUAAAAAAAAAUAAAAAAAAAUUAAAGAAGUUAAUCAGCAAGCCCACUUACUAAGUAAGUGUACGGUAUACCCAAUUACCCAGUAAGUAGGCCAAUACCCACUACCCACCCUAUCUCCUUCUCUUUCUUUUUAUAUCCUCAUCCUCCUCUUUCUCUCUCCUCUUCCCCACUGUUACUCUCUUUCUCUCUCCUCGUGAUAAUGAAAACCACCGAGCAACCCACUUUUUAUAGUUUGUACAUGGUGCAUAGUUUGUCGUUUAAGUGCUCCACUUUUAGAACAACCCAGAAUGUACAUGGUGCAUAGUUUGUCGUUUAAGGGAGACCCACAGCAACCCACCACCGAGCAACCCAGAACAACCACGUCCCACCUCACUCCAACGUUUUUCAGAUCUAAAUUUAAUUUAAAAUGUGCAUUUUGGCAGGUGUGGCUGGGCUGCCUUGGUGCGUGGUGGAAUCGGCGGCUGGUGGCUGCCUAGAAUUUGGACAUUAGCAAAGCGUUUCAUGUAUAUUUAUUUACUUAUUUUUACUUUGCAAUUUAUUUAAGUUGAAGCAGUUGGAUUUGGUUUGGUUGCAAUUGCAUGUGAUGAAAUUGGACUUUGAAAUAACAUUUUAUCUGCUAGAA
Long non-coding RNA from Chenopodium quinoa (quinoa), 894 nucleotides. RefSeq lists it as uncharacterized. Lineage: Eukaryota; Viridiplantae; Streptophyta; Magnoliopsida; Caryophyllales; Amaranthaceae. The transcript has 2 exons. The record is from RefSeq and is a predicted model, not a curated record.